Molecule: ribosomal RNA, 476 nt
Filed under: uncultured Gammaproteobacteria bacterium
Lineage: Bacteria; Pseudomonadati; Pseudomonadota; Gammaproteobacteria
Description: bacterial SSU rRNA
Rfam family: Bacterial small subunit ribosomal RNA
Source: RNAcentral
ACGCUCGACACCUACGGGAGGCAGCAGUGGGGAAUAUUGCACAAUGGGCGCAAGCCUGAUGCAGCCAUGCCGCGUGUGUGAAGAAGGCCUUCGGUUGUAAAGCACUUUCAGUCAGGAGGAAAGGUUAGUAGUUAAUACCUGCUAGCGGUGACGUUACUGACAGAAGAAGCACCGGCUAACUCCGUGCCAGCAGCCGCGGUAAUACGGAGGGUGCGAGCGUUAAUCGGAAUUACUGGGCGUAAAGCGUACGCAGGCGGUUUGUUAAGCGAGAUGUGAAAGCCCCGGGCUCAACCUGGGAACUGCAUUUCGAACUGGCAAACUAGAGUGUGAUAGAGGGUGGUAGAAUUUCAGGUGUAGCGGUGAAAUGCGUAGAGAUCUGAAGGAAUACCGAUGGCGAAGGCAGCCACCUGGGUCAACACUGACGCUCAUGUACGAAAGCGUGGGGAGCAAACAGGAUUAGAUACCCGAGUAGUCCA